This 607-nucleotide ribosomal RNA is filed under the name Mrakia blollopis. RNAcentral describes it as "eukaryotic LSU rRNA". It matches the Rfam family "Eukaryotic large subunit ribosomal RNA", at positions 59 to 649 of the family's 3401-position model. Lineage: Eukaryota; Fungi; Basidiomycota; Tremellomycetes; Cystofilobasidiales; Mrakiaceae. The record is from RNAcentral.
AAGAAACUAACAAGGAUUCCCCUAGUAACGGCGAGUGAAGCGGGAUGAGCUCAAAUUUAAAAUCUGGCGGCCUCAGGUCGUCCGAGUUGUAGUCUAGAGAAUCGUUUUCCGCGUUGGCCUGUGUACAAGUCCCUUGGAACAGGGCGUCAUAGAGGGUGAGAAUCCCGUCCUUGACACAGAUUACCAAUGCUUUGUGAUGCGAUCUCGAAGAGUCGAGUUGUUUGGGAAUGCAGCUCAAAAUGGGUGGUAAAUUCCAUCUAAAGCUAAAUAUUGGCGAGAGACCGAUAGCGAACAAGUACCGUGAGGGAAAGAUGAAAAGCACUUUGGAAAGAGAGUUAAACAGUACGUGAAAUUGUUAAAAGGGAAACGAUUGAAGUCAGUCAUGCUUUCCGAGACUCAGCCGAUUCUGUCGGUGUACUUCUCGGUUGGCAGGCCAGCAUCAGUUUCGAUCUGUGGAAAAGGUUGGAGGGAACGUGGCAUCUCCGGAUGUGUUAUAGCCCUUCUUCGAAUACAUAGAGCGGGACUGAGGAACGCAGCGCGCCUUUUAUUAGGUUGGCCCUCGGGUACAUACGCGCUUAGGAUGCUGGCAUAAUGGCUUUAAACGACC